RNAcentral lists this ribosomal RNA (86 nucleotides) under Aspergillus phoenicis. RNAcentral's name for it is "partial 28S ribosomal RNA". It matches the Rfam family "Eukaryotic large subunit ribosomal RNA", at positions 1 to 86 of the family's 3401-position model. The record is from RNAcentral. Lineage: Eukaryota; Fungi; Ascomycota; Eurotiomycetes; Eurotiales; Aspergillaceae.
UUGACCUCGGAUCAGGUAGGGAUACCCGCUGAACUUAAGCAUAUCAAUAAGCGGAGGAAAAGAAACCACCGGGAUUGCCUCAGUAA